This 152-nucleotide non-coding RNA is filed under the name Symbiodinium sp. clade D. The record is from RNAcentral. Lineage: Eukaryota; Dinophyceae; Suessiales; Symbiodiniaceae.
CUAUACAUACAUAUAUGGUAAAUGACAAAAGAAUGUACAUAAAAAAUCUGUCAUGUAAAAUAUAUAUAUGUAUUAUUUUUUUUUUGAAUUUUUUUUUUUCUGAUUAUUUUUUUGUUUUGGGGGAUUUCAGUUUGUGGAACUUAAAUCUAAAG